ACUAGUAUUGAAGUCCACGGGGAUCAGGCUUUCCGAAAGGAGGGUGGGGGGAUGUUUGGUUCCCCCUGCUUGGGCAGACUGGAGAGCAUUGUGUAGCCACUUUUGUUGGCUACGUUAUGUUUGGCCUCUGCUGAUCGAGCUUGUCACCUGAAUUCUACUACCCUUAGCUUUUUGCGCACCCAUUGUUUCCUCGGUAGGCUUGCCUGCCAGUAGGACCAUUUAAAACCCUUUGUGAUUGCAAUCAGCGUCAGAAACAACGUAAUCGUUA
Molecule: unclassified non-coding RNA, 268 nt
Filed under: soil metagenome
Description: partial internal transcribed spacer 1
Source: RNAcentral